CUGAGUACUACACUCUCUACCCUUUGUGAACUAUUAUACCUGUUGCUUCGGCGGCGCCCGCAAGGGUGCCCGCCGGUCUCAUCAGAAUCUCUGUUUUCGAACCCGACGAUACUUCUGAGUGUUCUUAGCGAACUGUCA
RNAcentral lists this unclassified non-coding RNA (138 nucleotides) under uncultured fungus. RNAcentral's name for it is "sequence contains ITS1, 5.8S rRNA gene". RNAcentral also lists the same sequence under 2 other names. The record is from RNAcentral. Lineage: Eukaryota; Fungi.